Anolis carolinensis (green anole) is the source of this 846-nucleotide long non-coding RNA. RefSeq lists it as uncharacterized. The record is from RefSeq and is a predicted model, not a curated record. NCBI's taxonomy places the organism in Eukaryota, Metazoa, Chordata, Lepidosauria, Squamata, Anolidae. The transcript has 2 exons.
GAAUUGUUGUUUAAUGGUUUUGAAUCUUGGCAUUAAUAAUAUUUUUCCUAUGUUUUGUUUUUUCUCUUGUUGUGAGCCAACUUGUUAAUAUCAAGAAGGAUAUUGACAAGCCAGAAUGUGUCCAUAGAACAGCAACCAAAAUGAUCAAAGGUAUGGAAACCAAGCCCUAUGAGGAAUGGAUUAAGGAGCUGAGUAUGUUUAGUUUGGAGAACAGAACACUGAGAGGACACAUGGUUUUGUUGUUUACUUGUUCAGUCACUUCCGACUCUUUGUGACCUCAUGGACCAGCCCAUGCCAGAGCUCCCUGUUGGCUGUUGCCACCCCCAGCUCCUUCAAGGUAAAGCCAGCCACUUCAAGGAUACUAGGUUGGAAGAUGGUCAAAAUGCUGCUGGGGAGGAACAGAGGAUAAGUUCAACUAGCCCCAGAGGUGAUGACAGAGUUAGCUCAAAGCCGAAAGGAAGGCUAACGACCAUGGUGCUGGAGGUUCCUUGUAAUCGAAUACAAUGAUUCCAGUUGCUUCCUGUCUUCAUAGCAGUGGAUGAAGUCUUCACUUGAGAUGUUCCCCAAAGCCCUUGUAGCAGCUUCAUGGACAUUUUCAACAGUCCCAAACAAAAUGAUAUACUUUGCAGUGGAUUUUGAGCAUUGGGAAAGAAAUUGCACAGAGCCAAUCUAACUAGAACUGGCUGGAUCAUAAUGUUCUAGCUUGGUUACCACCUGUGUUGAUAUUGGCCUACUACUGCAAGGUCCAUAAAAUAAUCAUAUCAGUUUGAUGGUUUCUCACCCUGAAUACAUGGAAUUAUAUCUCAUUUGGCUUAUUAAAUGUAAUAAAAACUAUCCUCACUUUGA